AUCUCUACUUGGAAAUUAUCUCCUUUGGAACGUUUGCUGAGCUCUGAUCCUUGGAAAGGGGGUUCAGUUUAGAAGAAGCAGAGUUUGACUACCGAGAGCUGCCAGAGAAAGUUCACUCAGCAUAGAUAGGACGGAAAAAGCAAACCUAGGAGCAUCGUGGGAGUCCAGAGAGAUGGUGAAAAAACAGUCUUUUAAACGUCAAACUUCUGUGUGGAUCCAAACCCUGCACCCCCCUUUCCAUGGGCACAGUCGGCACCGGCUGUGCCUGAGAAAAAAUCAGUCGAGCAGUACAACUGCCUGCCAAUACUUCACAUAGAGGCACGGGUGUGACUGUGUGUUGCAAGUCCAGACGGACGCUAUACGAUAAAGCUUCCCAGUGUGGCGCUUGAUCUGGGACUAUGAUCAGUAAAAAGCCUCAUCCUAUGGUGGUAGUGGGAGAGCCGACAGCAUUGAGGAUGAUCUGUAGAGUGAGCAUCCGCUCCCUUGCCCUCAGGCAGACUGGGGGUAUCAGAUUGAGAUCUAAGUGGCUCUUUAAGGCUUCAAAAAUCUUUCUCCAAGUCUGGAACAACCGGAAUGCUGUGUUAUCACCCUUAGUAGCAGCGCCCCAUAGCCUCACUGCGAUCCGGUCCCAUACUUCAGGAUCGUAAACUUAUUUGUGAUCGAGGGGUCACUCUUGGUAGCCCAUACAACCAUUUGCUGCAAAAUGGCAGUGGGCCCCAUUUUUUAAGAAUAAUUUGAAAAGUAACUAGAACAUUCUUUUGUUCCGAAGUCAUAUUAUAACGCAGUCGCUUACCUUUGUCCAGCGAAAUGCAAUCAGAGCGGUUGGGGAUGAAUCUUCAGGUUGCAGCGUUUAUCUCAACGCAUUCUUUUACAAAUUAUUCUGCAUUUCUCUCAACGCCUGCCACAUUUCUCUCAGUGUGCUCCGCAUUUCUCUCAACGUUCUCUAGACCGGUCAGUCUUCAAGUCAGGUUACGCUUCAGGUCCCUGUUCCUUCUUGCCCCUCUUCGCUCGUGUCUCUGUUCGUUCUCUUUCUCGAGUCCUGUUCGUUCAAGUCCCUGUUCGUUCAAGUCCCUGUUCGUUCAAGUCCCUGUUCGUUCUCUUUCUCGAGUCCUGUUUGUUCGUGUCUUUCUUCGUUUUUGUCCCUGUUCAUUCCGGUCCCUGUUCGGGUGCCGAUUGUUGCAAUAGGGCAUCGUGCUCCCUUGCCAGUGUGGCGAAAGAGGUGUGGAUUUCUUCGCUGGUGCAGAACAAAGGCGUUUAUUGUAGAUGCUUAGAGCCUUAUAUACUCGCGCAACACAACAGUUUUCCCACGCGACCAAGACUAGUUACAUAUAAGGGCUAGGCGCCUUGUGGGUGUUUACAUCUGGCCCAAAUUAUUGUUGAGCUUUACCACUCAUUAGCAAUACAACGACCUGCUUUAUCCCACAUAGUCCAGCAUGUGGUUGGCUUUCUGGACUGUGAGGGCAUGUUGCUGGCUGAAAUCCAGCUUACUAUUCACUAGUACCCCAAGUCCUUUUUGGUAGGUACAGAUCCCUUGACCUACACGAAAAGUUUUUAUUUUGACUUUUAAAAAUUGCUCUACAGUUCUCUUCAAUAUAUUGACAGUGUGAGUUGUUAAUUACUACCUCCUUCCCUCCAGCCUUCUUUAUGUCUUCCUACAAAGUAAAAACAAAAACCAAACCAAAGGAAAGCAAAACUCAGUUUCUUUUCACAUAAUCUCUGCUUUUAUGAAAAUGUUGAAGGAAUCAAACUUUGUCUUCCUCAGCAGUCUCCACUGGCGAUUUCCUUUAUUUAUUUAUUUAUUUAUUUAUUUAUUUUUCCUGUAAGAUUCCUAAGUAUCUAUUUCUUGAUUUUCCAACAAAAAAUACUGGCACGGAAUGUAUGAGAAAUGUUGUGUGGAAGAAAAUAAUUUCAUUUAAUGUAUUUUCUCUUUUAUUUGUAAUUAAAACAAAGUAUCUCCUGUG
This is a long non-coding RNA of Gallus gallus (chicken), 1961 nucleotides long. The record is from Ensembl. Lineage: Eukaryota; Metazoa; Chordata; Aves; Galliformes; Phasianidae.